CACGUUCUCUGAAAUAUCUCUGAAAAACACCGUUGGCAUUGGGUAUAAAAGCAAGAAUUCCCACCCCAACAACGUUAUGUUAACAAAUGCGCUACAGGGAAUACAGUGGUUCAAGGCGGCAGCUUGAUACGAACCACAUAUCAAGGCCGACAGCAAUCCACCAUCUGCGAAUGGGUAAAACCAGAAGUUAAAAUAAAAACCAUGGGGUUAUUUGCAUGGCCUUUCAGACGACAGUGACAAGAACGGUGCAAAACAGAUUCAAAUACCUGUGGGGCGAACAGGAGCUGGACUUAAGGCACAUUUUUUAAACAGAAUACAUUAAAGAGGCCGAGCGGACUCAAUACUUACAGGCUUGUUGUCAGUAUCUGCAUUCCUGUCUCGGUUUCUGGGUCUGUUUUUCCGUCUCCCCAUACCGCGGACAAUGGAGAAGAACCGAAGAAACGUGAUUCUCACACACGGGCGCAGAUGGAACUGAACUGGAGCAGGCCACAGCGGUCGCAAGAGUGGAGCACACGGCGGAAAUACUGGAGCUGGAUCCAAAACCGGAGUGGAGCACUCGUCGGAAAAACUGGAGCCGGAUCCGCAACCAGCGUGUAGCACACGGCGGAAAGACUGGAGCCGGAUCAGCACUGGAACACUGGACGGAAACCUCACUCGUUCAAUCAUUCAUUCAGAAAGGUGGAGCCACUUCUGUGAUGUAGUCCAGAAACAUACAGCCAGAUGUCCAUCUCAUAGUGAAAAUGCAGAACAGAUUGCAAAAUAAUGAACUCAGUUUUUUGGGGGGUAAAACUAUUUCCUGUGCCUUCCCAGCAUGGUCCCCAUUUUGAUGACCACAGAUAUUUGCUCCUAUAUACUAUCUUCGUUUACACUUGUAAAAGUGAAAAUAAAGCAUCUCCUUGGAGAGAUUGUGACCAUCAGGAACACCAGCUAAGGAGUCAAAAACUUGCUGAAAGAGGCCACACACAAUGCAUGUUUGAUGAAUGGCUACAGAAGGCACCUGAAGGCAUGAGGUGGUAAAGAGAAUCAAGACAAUGGCUCAGUGGUUAGCACUGCAGUCUCACAGCACCAGGGACCCGGCCUCGAUUCCAGCCUCGGGCAGCUGUCUGUGUGGAGUUUGCACAUUCUCCACGUGUCGGCAUUGAUUUCCUCCAGGUGCGCCAGUUUCCUCCCACAGUCCAAAGAUGUGCAGGCUAAAUGGAUUGGCUAUGCUAAAUUGCCCACAGUGUUUUGGGAUGUGUAGAUUAGGUCCAUUACAUGGGAAUGGAAAAUGGGUGGGAUGCUCUGAGGAUCGGUGUGGACUUGUUGGGCUGAAGGGCCCGUUUCCACAUUGUAGGGAUUCUAAGACAAUCAAUUCUAAGACAUGGAGAUGACUUGGGAGAACGGGGAAACACGGGGGUUGGAUUUGUUUGAAUGGAUGAGAGUUAAAAGGUCUCGGGGCCUUAAAACUGUGGUAGGACCUGGGCAGCUGUACUGGAGAGUAGACGCUUUUUAACUCUGCUUGUUGCAAAUCCUGCAAACCCAUCAUCUGUGAUUGCUGAUCUACACUGGCUCCUAAUAAAGCAAGGCCUUUAUUUUAAAUUCAAACUUGUUUCCACAACCCUCCACUGCGCUGCUCUUCCCUUGCUCUGUAAUCUCUUUAAGGUAUACAACCUUCCAAGGUGUCUGUGACCCUCUCAUUAUGGAACAUUGAGUAUGUUGGAGAGUAGUGGCUCCAUCAUUGGUGGCCAUGCCUUCAAAUACUGGUCCUAAGAAUCGAUUCAAUUCAUAAACCACUCCCUGUGGAGCUGUAGACUUGCUUGCCAAGCCAGUGUGUUCAGUUUCGUUUUGUCACCCUGCAAGGCAACAUCGUCAGUGUCUCUGGUGAAGUGUUGGUGUUCUGUUCCACUUGUUAUUUGCGUGUCUCAACUUGCAAGGGUGGUUGGCAUCACUUCCGCUUUUGUUUUAUGGUGGCUUGUAUAUCGGGUCCAGUUCAUUGUGUUGGUUGAUGGAGUUCCAGUUGGAUACAGAAAGGCCACACAUACGGACCAGAUACUUAAUUAUCCAGCAAUCACCCCAACACCCAUAAAUAAAAAAUCAUCAGAACAUUAUUCAAACAGGCCACAAUACACUGUAGCAAAGCAGAACAGCAGCACUUAUACAGGGUUUUGGAAAAGAAUAGAUACCCAAGAAGCACAAUCUGCCGUUACCUCCGUGACAGACAGCAAGAAAACACAACACAGCCAGACACACUAGACAUAUCAGAGAUCACCACAAAAUUAUUCAGACCCCCUAGGUAUCAGGAACAAAAACAGAAGUUGCUAGAGAUGCUCUGCAGGUCUGGCAGCAUCUGUGAAGAAAAAGAAAAGUUAACAUUUCAGGUCUGGUGACCCUUCCUCAGAACUGGUGAUAGCUGGGUAAAUGUCAGUUUAUAUGCAGAAAAUAGGGAGAAGGACGAGAUCGGGAGUAAGUGAUAGGAUAGAGCGAGAAGAGCAGUUGGACAGACAAAGGAGUUGAUAACAAUCUGGCUAGGAGGGUGAGUUGUUAAUGGGGACUGUUAGUGAUUGACAAUAAGUAGUAUGUAAUGGCAGGCUGUGUAAUAACAAGACUUGUGUGUGGGGUAGGGGGGCUAGGACAUGGGAGGCACUAAAAUUAUUGAACUUAAUACUGAGUCUGGAGGGCUGUAGGGUUCCCAAGCAGAAAAUGAGUGGUGUUCUUCCAGCUUGUGUUGAGCUUUGCUGGGACACUGCAACAAGCCAGAGACCUAGAUGUUGGCCAGGGAACAGGGUGGUGUGUUAAAGUUUUCCCUAGGUAUCAGGGUAUCCACAAACCAACAAACACCCUGCAACAGCUACUGAUAAACAUACAAGAUCCUAUACCCACAACCAAUAAAACUCAUGUAAUAUACAAAAUACCAUCAAAGGACUGGGAGAAACAUUACAUAGGUCAAACUAGAAGAAGACUUACAAUAAGGAUACACAAACACCAACUAGCCACCAAAGACAUGACCAAUCCUCACUGGUCUCAAUACACAUGGACAAAGGUCAUGAAUUUGACUGGGACAACACACCCAUAAUAGCACAAGCCAAACAGAGACAUAAGAGAAUUCCUGGAGGCCUGGCAUUCUAACUGGAACUCCAUCAACAAGCACACGGAACUGGACCCGAUAUACAAA
Stegostoma tigrinum is the source of this 3151-nucleotide long non-coding RNA. RefSeq lists it as uncharacterized. The transcript has 3 exons. The record is from RefSeq and is a predicted model, not a curated record. NCBI's taxonomy places the organism in Eukaryota, Metazoa, Chordata, Chondrichthyes, Orectolobiformes, Stegostomatidae.